CCGCUGGCGGUUUCGACCGUCGGUAGUUUAUAGUGGUGAGUUCUCAGCCCAGUUUUUUUGUGGUGGCGCCCGGAGCGCGUUUGUCCCCUGCAGCGUAGGAGUCUCUUUGCAGUGCAACCAUCUGGAAAAAGGAAAACCAAUCGGGUUGGCAUUCCAAAAAAAAAGCGAGAAAAACCAACUGUAAGGAAACCCGGAAAGAAAUACGGUUCAAUUGUGUUCGUUUAAAAGAUAACAGGUAUGCUAAGUGGGUAUUUUGACCCUGUGGGGUUCUUGAAACCUUCAAGCGAGGAGACUCGUCAAAAACCAAAAAUUUUACUGAGAUGCACUCAUACAAAAGAAGCAACAGUGAACAGAAUUCCUCGCAGUCUUUGUAAGCACGCUGUCCCAUUUAGUGUUUUGCA
RNAcentral lists this long non-coding RNA (401 nucleotides) under Bemisia tabaci. Its description in RNAcentral is "lncRNA ENSASIAIIG010651". The record is from RNAcentral. Lineage: Eukaryota; Metazoa; Arthropoda; Insecta; Hemiptera; Aleyrodidae.